This 727-nucleotide ribosomal RNA is filed under the name Echinococcus granulosus. RNAcentral describes it as "small subunit ribosomal RNA". The record is from RNAcentral. Lineage: Eukaryota; Metazoa; Platyhelminthes; Cestoda; Cyclophyllidea; Taeniidae.
GUUAAGAUGAGAAUCUUAUAAGGGUGAUACAAUUUGAGGGGAUAGGUCACAGUGCCAGCAUCUGCGGUUAAUCUGUUUUCUUUGCUUUUGUGUGGAUUAUGCGUAUUUAUUUAUGUGCAAUGUUAGGUUAAAUUUUUUUUGUGACAGUGUGUGGUAAAUAGGUUUUGUUAUGAUAUAUAUGAUGACAGGGAUUAGAUACCCCAUUAAUGUAUUUUGUAAAGUUGUUCUAGUUUUGUAACUAAAAUGGUUUGGCAGUGAGCGAUUCUUAUUAGGGGAAUAUGCAUAGUGAAGGAUGGUCCACCUAUUAGUUUACUCUUUUUAUGUUGGUGUAUGUCUGGUUUGAUAUUAUUGUUGAAUAAUUUAAGUUUGUGUAGUUUUAGUUAAGCUAAGUCUAUGUGCUGCUUAUUGGAGUUUUUGUGUGUUACAUUAAUAAGGGUGUUAUUGUAAGAUGAUGUGAUUUAGGACUUAAUAGUAAUGUUAAAUGAGUUUGUUGAUGUGAAGAGAGUUUAGCUCAGGUACACACCGCCCGUCACCCUCGGUUGUUAUUGAGGUAAGUCGUAACAAGGUAACUUUAAAUGAAUUUGAAGUUAAUUAUUAGGUUGUCCUAGUUGUAGUGAAAUUGUCGUUGUUAUAUUAUGAUAUUGUGUGUUAUAUUGUGGCGGUUUGUGUAUUUAUUGUUUGUUUUGUGUAUGUUUUGUUGUGUUGGAAUGUGGUGUUUGGCGUUGGU